UUACUCCUCCCUCUCCACCGCCUCCCGCUGCAGCGCGGCGGAGCUCGGGCUGUGGAGUAGCGGAGGGGCCGGGUAGGCCGUUGGCCGCCAUCGUCCCCCCCCCUCGGAGCGCGGCCGCAGCGGCGGAGGGGGAGGGAAGGGAAGGAUUUCAGGCUCAUGUAUGUGAAAGAAAGCACUGAAAUAAGUGAGAAAGCAGCAGCGAAACAAUGCAAAGAAGAGCAGUGACCUGCAAUCAUGCACCCAGAAGAAAUCCUCUGCUGCAGAACUCACGCUGUCUGCGAGGUCUCUGCAGGUGCGCUGUGUUGUUGUUGCCGCAACGUGCCAUCAUUUCCUGUGUGACAGUCUUUAAGACCACCACAAGUAGGGUAAAUAUGCCGUUCCUCAUGACACUGGACAAGUUAAUGACACAGCUGUUUGCAGAAGGGAGGUUGUAAUGUCGCGCCGAGUAGAAGAAAUACUGCCUGUUAUGUAAUACCAUUGACCUCUGUUAUGAAUUGUCUGGAAUAUUCUUCUUAUCCCUCAAAGAUUCCUCUGUCUGCGCAGCUCCAGGCCUCAGCGAAAUCCUGUGCAGUUAAUUAGGUCCUUACUUGUAGCAGAGACUCCUGCAGAGGCGGAUGCUUUAACCUGGAUAACAGAUGCACCAGAAGCAAUUAGAAAUGCAAGAAAAAACACGGGAAGCAAUCAAAGAGGGAGGAAAGAGGUAAAGGUGGUGCUUUAGGAGUACAAUUUGCAGGAGAAGUGGGAAGCAGUGCUUGUAGUUAAAUGGGAUGAAUUCCAUUAUAUCAAAUCAAGGUACAAAGGGGAAAUGGAGACCCUUGUCAACCUGAAAUUUAUAGAUCACAAACAACAUUUUUUCUGUUUUGUCCUCCACUGGUAGCACAGAAGAAGAAUGAUGAUCCACUGCAUGAUUCUGAGUCUACAAUUCAACGUUUUUCUCUGCUUUGGUUGCUUUUCUUCCCCAUUUAUGCGUAUGGAACAACUUUCCCUGUUGGUCAGCUGCUGUGGCUGAAGAGGGGAGCAAGAAGGGAGCUGGAGCAGAGCAAGGGCAAGAAGGGUUGGUCCAAUUCAACGGCAAUUCCAGCCUCAAACACGGGCAGCUCUGUGUGUCUCCUGCUAUCAGUCUGUGCUACUCCUUCUGCAGCAAGCUGGAUGCCUGACAUUGCUAAUGCUUUGGGGUGCUGCCACCCAGGCUCUGAGCUCAUGAGGGUCCUAUGUGAGGUUAGAGAAUCACAGAAUCAUGAAAUUAUGGAAUCGUAGGGGUUGGAAGGGACCUCUGGAGAUCAUCCAGUCCAACCCCUCCUAAAGCAGGUUCUCUGCAGUAGGUACAAAUGGUAAUAACCUAACUUGGAGAGGUUGUCCAUGCUCUGGCAGGCUGAAAAUUACCGUAAAUAAGAAUUACAAUGGAGCAUCGUCAUCGGAGUGAGCAGAGAUGUGAAAGGAGAAUAACAUUCCCACUAGAACUGAAUGAAUGUAACAUCCCACAACAGAGUGGAAACUGAAACUGGGAACGGGAAAUGCUUAGAUCGUGUCUCUGUAUAAGGGAUCCUCCCUGAGCAAGCAGCAACCUGUCGUUUCAGCAAUGCAAGGCUUCCCCUCAGUGGCAACAAGGCAGCAGGGUGUCCUGCUGCUCCGCCACAAUAAAAGCAUUUUGCUUUUUUUUUUUUUUUUUUCAAAGGCGAAGUCCAGUAAAAACGUGGCUCUGAAGUAAAGGAAAUAUUUACAGCAGAGGCCGCUGGCUGGGCUGGGUGUAAUGGUAUACAGCACUGUGAGAGGCCAAAGUGAUACUACUUUAUGAGCCAAGACUUUUUAACUCCUUUGGUAUAGGAGACAGCUGCCUACACGAGGCAUUUAGAAACAAAUGAAACUUGAGCAGUGUCAUACUGGGAUCAUAGAAUACGGACAAAAGCAACAGAAAUGAGUAUUUUUUUUUUUACAAGAGAAGGAUUAACUGGAGAACAGUGGCUGCUGUGCUAAAGCUCAUACCCAAGUGCAGCUGGUGAGAUUGCUGACAGUGCGGGAGGCUAUUCCAGUAAUGAGGUCUUCCUGCAAAAAUACCCAUCCCCAUCAACAUCUAUUAUCUAAAAACUGAUGUCCAGGUUGAUCUAAGUUCCAAUCCUGGAAAUGAAACGGGACCAUGUUAUUAGGAGACAUGUGAGCUCAGAUUAUGCAUACAAAAAAGACGACAGCCAAAUUGUCUAUGUAUGGGGAGACUGCAUUUGCCUUACCCCAAAAGAUUUACCAGUUGCUAUGGUUACUCAAUAUUACAGCUCAAUAGAUUGGUAACGUGAACUGAUGGAUCUAGAAAUACGCUGCAAAAUGGAAUUAAAGAGGUCCUGCUGAAACACAGCCUGAAAAAUUCUGUGCUUCUGAUGAGGUGGAAGCACUGUGCUGCUGACGGGCCAGUCGUGGUUCCCAGAUGCAUGGCAGGGGUUCCACCAAAUAGCAGUGAGAUGUGUGCUUGGUGUCUUGUGCAGCCAGAGUUGUAAAACACAUGUCAAAGGGAUAAUAAAACACAGUCCAAACUGUCUCGUAUGGGAUCCCUCGAGUAAAAUCAUGACCAAGUCCCAGCAAGUACAGGGCGGAGGUAAAGGCUGGCAGCAAGCAAGGAGUCUCUCUAUGAAGUUUGAAAAUCAGCAAAGGUUUUAAGAGCUGAUCACUCGAAGUCACAGCUGUGCUGCAGGUGGCUUAUCUCAACCCUGAGCCCUCUUUCGUUGUGUUUUGUCCCCUCUUCCUUUGAGGAGGGGGAGCAAGAGUGGUGUGGUGGAGCCACCCAUUGGAGUGACACCACAGUGCCCGCCAUUGUCCUCUUCCCAAAAGAUAGAGUUUAAGGGAAGUUUUUCCCCCAUUGCAUAUUCUGCUGCAGGUAUCACCAAUUUCAUCUGCCACUGUGGUGUGCUGACUUGAUUUGCAUUGAUUCUGCCAAAAUAUGCCUAAUUUCUCCAGACACUGUCAACAGGUGUCCCACCUGCAAAUCCCAGCCUUACUGCUCCUCUCCCAGUUGGGUUUUACUCAAUGCCGUAAAAACUCAACACAUUGCCCUAUUAUGGGUUGCUGUGAUCACAGAAUGGCUUGGAUUGGAAAAGACCUUAAAGUUUAUCAUUUGGUUCCAGCCAUCCCAUGGGUAGAGUUGCCAACUGGUGAUGGCAGAUGGAAGACCAAAACCAGUCUUCAUGCUUUUUGUCUCCCAGCUCCUUUUGCUGCAGCUGUUCCCCAGCUCCAAUGGACCAGAUGCUGCCGGGACAGCAGGAGAAGGGAAAAGCCUAUGGCAUGACGGUGCAGAAUGUGGGAAGCAGAGACCUCCAUCAGCAAAAUGGGAAAGCAGAAUUUCUCUUCCAUAGGGUGUUUAGUAAGGGGAAAUUCAGAAAUGACCAAGUUUGAGUGCUGUGCUGGUGGAGAGACGAUGGGGGUCAAAGGUGGGAAUGGAGUGGGGAGAAAUAUGGCAGUUUUUAAAGGGCAGCCAGGGAAGACGUGCAAACACUGAGAGCAUUUUAAAGAAGCAAAGGGAUGAAAACCAGCCUGAAAAAAAGCACAUGAAAUGAGAAAAAUUGCA
Numida meleagris (helmeted guineafowl) is the source of this 3550-nucleotide long non-coding RNA. RefSeq lists it as uncharacterized. Lineage: Eukaryota; Metazoa; Chordata; Aves; Galliformes; Numididae. The transcript is spliced from 5 exons. The record is from RefSeq and is a predicted model, not a curated record.